This 107-nucleotide small RNA is filed under the name Rhizobium sp. Leaf306. RNAcentral describes it as "Alphaproteobacterial sRNA ar35". It matches the Rfam family "Alphaproteobacterial sRNA ar35". Lineage: Bacteria; Pseudomonadati; Pseudomonadota; Alphaproteobacteria; Hyphomicrobiales; Rhizobiaceae. The record is from Rfam by way of RNAcentral.
AUGUUGACUACAACAUUGUUUUCGUCGGCGACCACGGAUGUACUGGCGCAGUGGCUGAGAGCAAUGCAGGGAGGUCGGUGCGUGUAUUCGCUCCGGCCUUUUUUAUU